This 468-nucleotide ribosomal RNA is filed under the name uncultured bacterium. RNAcentral describes it as "partial 16S ribosomal RNA". It matches the Rfam family "Bacterial small subunit ribosomal RNA", at positions 28 to 507 of the family's 1533-position model. The record is from RNAcentral.
GAUGAACGCUGGCGGCGUGCUUAACACAUGCAAGUCGAACGGUGAAGGCGGAGCUUGCUCUGCUGGAUCAGUGGCGAACGGGUGAGUAACACGUGAGCAAUCUGCCCCUGACUCUGGGAUAAGCGCUGGAAACGGCGGCUAAUACUGGAUACGAGCUGCGAAGGCAUCUUCAGCAGCUGGAAAGAAUUUCGGUCAGGGAUGAGCUCACGGCCUAUCAGCUUGUUGGUGAGGUAAUGGCUCACCAAGGCGUCGACGGGUAGCCGGCCUGAGAGGGUGACCGGCCACACUGGGACUGAGACACGGCCCAGACUCCUACGGGAGGCAGCAGUGGGGAAUAUUGCACAAUGGGCGAAAGCCUGAUGCAGCAACGCCGCGUGAGGGACGACGGCCUUCGGGUUGUAAACCUCUUUUAGCAGGGAAGAAGCGAAAGUGACGGUACCUGCAGAAAAAGCGCCGGCUAACUACGUG